GAUCAUGGCUCAGGAUGAACGCUAGCUACAGGCUUAACACAUGCAAGUCGAGGGGAACGAUAUUGGUAAGCUUGCUUCCGAUAGGCGUCGACCGGCGCACGGGUGAGUAACGCGUAUCCAACCUGCCCACCACUUGGGGAUAACCUUGCGAAAGUAAGACUAAUACCCAAUGACGUCUCUAGAAGACAUCUGAAAGAGAUUAAAGAUUUAUCGGUGAUGGAUGGGGAUGCGU
RNAcentral lists this ribosomal RNA (232 nucleotides) under uncultured bacterium. RNAcentral describes it as "partial 16S ribosomal RNA". It matches the Rfam family "Bacterial small subunit ribosomal RNA", at positions 15 to 236 of the family's 1533-position model. The record is from RNAcentral.